UACCUUUGCCGGCGACCGGCGCACGGGUGCGUAACGCGUAUGCAACCUACCUUUAACAGGGGCAUAACACUGAGAAAUUGGUACUAAUUCCCCAUAACAUUCGAGAAGGCAUCUUCUUGGGUUAAAAACUCCGGUGGUUAAAGAUGGGCAUGCGUUGUAUUAGCUAGUUGGUGAGGUAACGGCUCACCAAGGCAACGAUACAUAGGGGGACUGAGAGGUUAACCCCCCACAUUGGUACUGAGACACGGACCAA
Molecule: ribosomal RNA, 253 nt
Filed under: uncultured bacterium
Lineage: Bacteria
Description: partial 16S ribosomal RNA
Rfam family: Bacterial small subunit ribosomal RNA
Source: RNAcentral